AUUGAACGCUGGCGGCAGGCCUACCACAUGCAAGUCGAGCGGAUGAAGGGAGCUUGCUCCUGGAUUCAGCGGCGGACGGGUGAGUAAUGCCUAGGAAUCUGCCUGGUAGUGGGGGAUAACGUCCGGAAACGGGCGCUAAUACCGCAUACGUCCUGAGGGAGAAAGUGGGGGAUCUUCGGACCUCACGCUAUCAGAUGAGCCUAGGUCGGAUUAGCUAGUUGGUGGGGUAAAGGCCUACCAAGGCGACGAUCCGUAACUGGUCUGAGAGGAUGAUCAGUCACACUGGAACUGAGACACGGUCCAGACUCCUACGGGAGGCAGCAGUGGGGAAUAUUGGACAAAGGGCGAAAGCCUGAUCCAGCCAUGCCGCGUGUGUGAAGAAGGUCUUCGGAUUGUAAAGCACUUUAAGUUGGGAGGAAGGGCAGUAAGUUAAUACCUUGCUGUUUUGACGUUACCAACAGAAUAAGCACCGGCUAACUUCGUG
This 484-nucleotide ribosomal RNA is filed under the name uncultured bacterium. Its description in RNAcentral is "partial 16S ribosomal RNA". It matches the Rfam family "Bacterial small subunit ribosomal RNA", at positions 30 to 507 of the family's 1533-position model. The record is from RNAcentral.